Molecule: long non-coding RNA, 2023 nt
Organism: Scleropages formosus (Asian bonytongue)
Lineage: Eukaryota; Metazoa; Chordata; Actinopteri; Osteoglossiformes; Osteoglossidae
Exons: 3
Source: RefSeq, a predicted model, not a curated record
UUUGUGGCAGGAACAACCAGGCGUUGCAACACAUUUUUCUCUACAAAAUAAGUGUAGGACAAAAAAUUAUAUUAUCGUUCCCCACGAAAAAACCUCUACAUCCAAAAUUUUUAUUAAAUCACAGUCUAGCCAUUUCAGAACUUGGAAAAAAGAACGCGCUUCUGGGCUGUUGUGAAGCGGUACUGACACGUGUGAGGAAAACAGAGGAGGAAAGGAUGGCCCCAUACUUCAGCAGGUGGAUGCUGGGAUAAACUGGCCCAUACAUCUGUCUUGGCCCCUUAUGAACCCCAGAGGAGCCUGGAAACAUGAAUACAUGUGCAGCGGAGACAAAAAAUCUCCCCCAUCCGGUCCUGGUGGCCCAAAGCAACGGUGAAUAAUUCAUGAGGCAGAAAGGUAGGAGGAGUGGAUUGCGGUCACUUUCCCGGCCGCUGGGAAUCAGGCCCGGCGUGUCCAAGAGGGAGGCGGAGGGAUCAUGAAUAAUACAGACCGCAUCUGCAAGGAGUCUCCCGAGCCCCCCACCACAGAGGAAACCCACCCUGCUUCCGCCUGGGGUAGGAAGGGGACUAUCCUGCAGCGGAUCAUCUGACAGGCCCGCAAAGUGGGCUGUGGGCCAGCAGUAGCAGGAGAGAACAGUGUCUAUCCCAGGAGAUCCCUGUCAGCAACGACACCAUCCAUCUUCCUCCUCCACCGUGGAUCCUCACAUCUUCCCAUUGUCUCUGCUUGCUCCCCAUGUCAUCUUAGUAUUACGAUCAUUUUCGACGACUUCUUCAUUCAUUCUCACGUUUGCAUGGGUGGAGAUUCUCCCUUAUAAGCCCAGCACAGAAUUACAUUUUGAAGCUCAGAUGCCAUAAUUAGUGCCUACCCACCACAGACAUUUUACCUCUAUGAAGAAUUUUCAUCCCAGCUCACUGACAGAUGCUGUAAAACACAGUCCUGCUCCAUACAUAACCCAUUUGUGCUGUGGUGCUUACAGCUGGCAAACAUUUUUGCGGAAAAUCUGGAUGAAAUUAACAAUUUAGCUGGCCCUUUUUUUUUGUGGCUGACCACAUCUGGCCCUUUUAGACAGCUCGGCAUUUCCUCGAGCAUUUUAGGUUAAUUACCAUGCUCAAGAGUACUACUGUAGUAUUAUGGAAGUGGAGCUUGACCUAGCAACUUUCAGAUUACAAGCCCGUGUCCUUAACUGCUAUUAUACCUGCUGCACCUACAAGACACCAGCAACUUGCAAUCAAAUGUCAUGUGUACUGACAUCCAUGUGUAUGAGGAUAGAGUACAGUUUUUAGUUCUCACGUCUCGUCCCUCCAUGCAGUGAAUCCCGCCCUAACCAUCUCAGGCUAGUGUGAGCUGUGCACCAAAAAGCCUUUUACUGGCGCCCUGGGAAUAUAAAUCGUUCACACUCUCUACGGAGGCUACUGCUAAGGCACGUUACAUCUUCAAUGUGAAGUUGACUUUGAGCUCAUAAAAAGGGCUGGUGUGACGGCUAUUGCAAUGAUUGACAAUGUAACUGCGUUUCCAGAUCAUUUCUACAUGAUCGUUUAAUGGAGUCUAAUGGCGAUGUCAAAAAAAUUAUAACGCAAAUCUGGUCAAGCUUGUCAUGGGACCCAAAGAAGGUGCAGGAAUCCGUAACGCGUUUUUGGUGCCGAUGAGAAAAAAUCGGAUGGUAAGUAUUAUUGUGCUCCAUUGAUUUGGCCAACGGAAAACGAUUAAAAAAAAAAAAAAAACACAUGGAAAAAACAUACGUGACACAAAACUCCUGUAACAUGAAGCUGGACAGAAACCUUUGAUGGUUCAGAGGAAUCACAUUUUUGAAGAGUUCUGAUUUGUAAUGGCGAUUUCUAUGUGGAACAGUGUUUCGUACAAACUCUUCUGAGAGCAAAGGCAAAAUAUUUGAAUAUUUCACUUUUUCAAACAAACCCUGGAGGUUCCGAGGUGAGGUGAGACCUGCAGACCGUAACUGGCCGACUGUGGACCACGGCUCUGAAUUCUGCCAGUCUUCAUCACAAACUGUCCUUGGCAAGGUGACCAU